ACACUCUCGGCCCUUUCUGUAUCCCCUCGGCUCUUCCCUUCACGACUCUGCGACUCGGACAAGCCCGGCGCUCUCGGCCAGCUGUCGGUUGUUUCCGUCUCCGCCAGGGCUCUGCGAUUCCCACAACCUCGGCGCACUCAGCCAGCCAUCGGUUGUUUCCGUCGCCCUCCGGCUCCCCGCCCGGAUGUGUUAGUCUCAGUUCAUGCACAGCCCGCGGGACGCGCUCGUGUGCGCUGGGCGGUGGCUGUGUCUGUUCUGAAAUCGCAGCUCGCGGAGAACUGUGCUCCAGGAGGAGUCCUGUGAGAUGCCUGGACUCCAUGGUGGUGGAUACUGUGAAGCAUGAAGGAGGCCUUCAGCCUCCAGACCUGCUGCCAUUCUGCCGGUCAUUUUACAGGCUAGCUCGAAGCCCAGCUGACACUAUUUAUAUGAACAUCUUGGUUUCAGAAAGAUGCAUACCUUGCUUGUCUCCCACACACACAGCGGUGAAACAGAAUCCGACUCUGCCAGAUUUGUCAACUUAGUUUUCUUUCUGAUGACUCUCUGGAUGUUGAAAAGCAGACUCUCUUCCGUCAACAGUGAUGUUCCACCCUACAGGACACAAGGAUGCUGACUUUUAAAGCUACAGCUCAGCUCUUCAUCUUGGAUGCACGUGGUGUCUGGGAAUCCUGCAGGUGGGUCCAGCUGCCCACGUCAUGGCCUACCUCUUCACCAUCAUCAACAGCCUGCAGAGCGUCUCCAUCUUCCUGGUGUACUGCCUCCUCAGCCAGCAGGUUCGGGAACAAUACGGGAAAUGGCUCAAAAGGGUCAGGAAACCCAAAGCUGAGUCUGAGACUUUCACGCUUUCCAGCAGGGCCGUGUCUGAUGCCUCCAAACCCAUCACGGUAUGAUCAUGCAUUGCUCCCAGAAUACUUCACCAACUGAUCUGCCCGAGCAGCAUGUGCCUAUCACACUGGACAACCUGGGUGAACAGCAGAUGAUGCC
Long non-coding RNA from Equus quagga, 981 nucleotides. RefSeq lists it as uncharacterized. The record is from RefSeq and is a predicted model, not a curated record. NCBI's taxonomy places the organism in Eukaryota, Metazoa, Chordata, Mammalia, Perissodactyla, Equidae. The transcript is spliced from 5 exons.